RNAcentral lists this ribosomal RNA (465 nucleotides) under uncultured bacterium. RNAcentral's name for it is "partial 16S ribosomal RNA". It matches the Rfam family "Bacterial small subunit ribosomal RNA", at positions 338 to 795 of the family's 1533-position model. The record is from RNAcentral.
CCUACGGGGGGCAGCAGUGGGGACUAUUGCGCAAUGGGCGAAAGCCUGACGCAGCGACGCCGCGUGAGGGAUGAAGGUCGUCGGAUCGUAAACCUCUGUCAGCAGGGAAGAACGGUCACUGUGCUAAUCAGCAGUGAAUUGACGGUACCUGCAAAGGAAGCACCGGCUAACUCCGUGCCAGCCGCCGCGGUAAUACGGAGGGUGCGAGCGUUAAUCGGAAUUACUGGGCGUAAAGCGCUCGUAGGCGGUAUGUCAAGUCAAGGGUGAAAUCCCCGCGCUCAACGUGGGAACUGCCUUUGAAACUGGCAAACUGGAGUGUGUGAGGGGAUAGUGGAAUUCCAGGUGUAGGAGUGAAAUCCGUAGAUAUCUGGAGGAACAUCAGUGGCGAAGGCGACUAUCUGGCACAUAACUGACGCUGAGGAGCGAAAGCGUGGGUAGCAAACAGGAUUAGAUACCCCAGUAGUC